RNAcentral lists this ribosomal RNA (504 nucleotides) under uncultured bacterium. RNAcentral describes it as "partial 16S ribosomal RNA". It matches the Rfam family "Bacterial small subunit ribosomal RNA", at positions 29 to 523 of the family's 1533-position model. The record is from RNAcentral.
AUUGAACGCUGGCGGCAGGCCUAACACAUGCAAGUCGAACGGUAGCACAGAGAGCUUGCUCUCGGGUGGCGAGUGGCGGACGGGUGAGUAACGUCUGGGAAACUGCCCGAUGGAGGGGGAUAACUACUGGAAACGGUAGCUAAUACCGCAUAACGUCGCAAGACCAAAGUGGGGGACCUUCGGGCCUCACACCAUCGGAUGUGCCCAGAUGGGAUUAGCUAGUAGGUGGGGUAAUGGCUCACCUAGGCGACGAUCCCUAGCUGGUCUGGGAGGAUGACCAGCCACACUGGAACGGAGAGACGGUCCAGACGCCUACGGGGGGCAGCAGUGGGGAAUAUUGCACAAUGGGCGCAAGCCCGAUGCAGCCAUGCGGCGUGUAUGAAGAAGGCCUUCGGGUUGUAAAGUACUUUCAGCGGGGAGGAAGGCGGUGAAGUUAACAGCUUCACCGAUUGACGUUACCCGCAGAAGAAGCACCGGCUAACUCCGUGCCAGCCGCCGCCGUAA